GACGAACGCUGGCGGCGUGCCUAACACAUGCAAGUCGAGCGAACAGACGAGAAGCUUGCUUUGCUGAUGUUUGCGGCACGCGUGUGAAUAACACGUGUAUAACCUACCUAUAAGACUGAGAUAACUUCGAGACACCGGAGCUAAUACCGGAGAAUCUUUUGAACCGCGUGGUUCAAAAGUGAAAGUCGGUCUUUCUGUCACUUCUAGAUGGAUCCCCGCUGCAUUAGCUAGUUGUUAAGGUAACGGCUUACCACGGCAACGAUGCAUAGCCGACCGGACAGGGUGGUAGGCCACCCGGGAAGGGAGACAGCGACCAGACUCCUACGGUAGGCAGCAGAAGGGAAUCUUACGCAAUGGGGGAGAGCCUGACGGAGCAACGCGGCGUGAGUGAUGACGGUGCCCGGAGCGGAAAAAUCUGUUAUUAGGGAAGAACAUAUGUGUAAGUAACCGUGCAGAUAGUGACGGUACCGGAUCAGAAAGCCCCGGCUAACUACGUG
RNAcentral lists this ribosomal RNA (497 nucleotides) under uncultured bacterium. RNAcentral describes it as "partial 16S ribosomal RNA". It matches the Rfam family "Bacterial small subunit ribosomal RNA", at positions 28 to 507 of the family's 1533-position model. The record is from RNAcentral.